Molecule: non-coding RNA, 234 nt
Organism: Vicia faba (fava bean)
Lineage: Eukaryota; Viridiplantae; Streptophyta; Magnoliopsida; Fabales; Fabaceae
Source: the annotation of a GenBank genome assembly
AUGAUUCAUCAUCUUCAUAACCACAUCUUCAUCAUCAACACUUCAUCAAGAUUCUUCUUCAUUGUUGUGUCUGAAUCAACAUCACCACAUCAAUCUCCAACUUAUUCAACAUCAACAUUUCAUCAUCUACACAGAGCAAUAACAACAUCACAACGCAAUCAUAGAAACACAGAGAAGCGGAAACCGAGGAAGAAGCGAUUGUCGAGGUGUCAAACAACAUACAUGAAUCUCUAG